Molecule: transfer RNA, 63 nt
Filed under: Marmota marmota marmota (Alpine marmot)
Lineage: Eukaryota; Metazoa; Chordata; Mammalia; Rodentia; Sciuridae
Also listed under: 1 other name
Rfam family: tRNA
About the family: Transfer RNA (tRNA) molecules are approximately 80 nucleotides in length. Their secondary structure includes four short double-helical elements and three loops (D, anti-codon, and T loops). Further hydrogen bonds mediate the characteristic L-shaped molecular structure. tRNAs have two regions of fundamental functional importance: the anti-codon, which is responsible for specific mRNA codon recognition, and the 3' end, to which the tRNAs corresponding amino acid is attached (by aminoacyl-tRNA synthetases). tRNAs cope with the degeneracy of the genetic code in two manners: having more than one tRNA (with a specific anti-codon) for a particular amino acid; and 'wobble' base-pairing, i.e. permitting non-standard base-pairing at the 3rd anti-codon position.
Source: Rfam by way of RNAcentral
GGGGGUGUAGCUCAGUGGUAGAGCACUUGCCUAGCAUGCAGGCAGCCUCAGAUUCCACCCCCA